AGGACGAACGCUGGCGGCGUGCCUAACACAUGCAAGUCGAGCGAAGCAUUUAAGGUAGCUUGCUACCAUUUAUGACUGAGCGGCGAACGGGUGAGUAACACGUGGGUGAUCUACCUGAAAGUCUGGGAUAACAGUUCGAAAGGGCUACUAAUACCGGAUGACAUUGGAGCUGUAGAGGCUUCAAUCAAAGCGUUACGGAGCGCUUUCAGAUGAGCCCGCGUCCCAUUAGUUAGUUGGUAGGGUAACGGCCUACCAAGGCGACGAUGGGUAGCCGGUCUGAGAGGAUGGUCGGCCACACUGGGACUGAGACACGGCCCAGACUCCUACGGGAGGCAGCAGUGGGGAAUUUUGCGCAAUGGGGGCAACCCUGACGCAGCGACGCCGCGUGAGCGAAGAAGGCCUUCGGGUUGUAAAGCUCUGUUGAGGGGGAAGAUAGUGACGGUACCCCUUAAGAAAGCCCCGGCUAACUACGUGCCAGCAGCCGCGGU
This 488-nucleotide ribosomal RNA is filed under the name uncultured bacterium. Its description in RNAcentral is "bacterial SSU rRNA". It matches the Rfam family "Bacterial small subunit ribosomal RNA", at positions 26 to 521 of the family's 1533-position model. The record is from RNAcentral.